This 2568-nucleotide unclassified non-coding RNA is filed under the name Hevea brasiliensis (rubber tree). Lineage: Eukaryota; Viridiplantae; Streptophyta; Magnoliopsida; Malpighiales; Euphorbiaceae. The record is from RNAcentral.
GGCCGAUAGACCAUUAGAGGCAAAGGCCACAGUCAUAGUCAUGUGCACGUUGUCUAUGCGGCCCAAACAAACCAUUAACAAUGUUCGGGUGACACUGGCUGCUUCUGCUCGAAAAAUGGUUUCUUUCCUCCCAUGGCUUCAAAGGCGCCUCUUUAGCGCCGAAGUCUCCAGAACCCACCAAAAUUAUCAUAAUUGGACCGUAAAGCAAGUCACCAAGUCGAAUUUCAGCGACUGUCUGGAGGGAAUCAAGUCUCACAUCUCAAGUUCUGAUUUCAUAGCCGUUUCUUUGCAGAAGACAGGCUCUUUCUCCGCUCCAUGGCACCGUGUCUCCCCUUUCGACACCCCCGACACCGCUUACUUGAAAGCAAAGCACGCCGCUGAACGCUUUCAGGUUCUUCAGUUCGCUGUUUGCCCCUUCACUAUCACUGCGUCUCGAGUCACUGCCUAUCCAUAUAAUUUUCAUCUAUUCCCUAGGGAUGAAUUGAAAAUAGGGAUGCCUUCUUACAGUUUUUCUUGUCAAACGUCAUAUCUGAGUUCUAUGGCUCGAGAAGGCUUUGAUUUUAAUGCUUGUAUAUAUGAUGGCAUAUCAUAUUUGUCCAGAGCACAAGAAUCAGCAGCAAAAGUUCAGAUGGGGAAUGCAAUAUCUGCUAAUGCUAUGGUAGAAUCUACUUCUACUCCUUCUGUUGCUGAUACGGUUUUCAUUCAAAGGACUAGAUCACGUGUUAAGAAUUGGAAAAAUGCAUUUACAGAUUCAAGUACAAAUGAGCCUCUGUUGAGAUCCCUGAGAAAACUCGUAUUAAGAAGUGAAGAGUAUAAUUCAAGACCAUGCAUGAAUAUAGAUGUUUGCAGCGAACGACAAAUGCAACUUGUAAUUGAGAUGUUGCAAGAAUUCACUGAUGAUCUUGUUCCUCUAAUAAUUCCAGCAAAGGGUGGAGGAACCCAAUCAGUCCGUGUUGUCUUAACAAGUUCAAAAGAAGACAAGGAACUUCUUCAGGUAGUAAGUCAAUCUCAAUUCUUGGUUAUGAGCCCUGGUCGGUCUUCAUCUAAAUUACAUAAUUGAUGCUUUGAUUGACAGAUGGAGCUUCAAAACGAUGAAGAAAAACAAAACAAGAAAAUUCGUGGCUUUCGAGAGGUGAUCGAUCUGAUUUCUGCUUCACAGAAGCCUGUUGUCUCCCACAAUUCCCUUAAUGGUGUAUCUCUUUAUAAUGGGGUUCUGGAUCAUUUGUAAUGAAGUACCUUUGUCUUAUAGUUUCUUUUAAUGGUUAAACUCAUACUAUAUUGUUGCUUGCAGAUUUUACAUUUGUUCAUUCAAAAUUUCUAGCUCCUCUACCUACCAAAAUGGAGGAGUUCAUGUGUUCCUUGUGCUUAGCUUUUCCUCAGGUAAUCGAUGUCAAUCAUCUGAUGAAGGAAAUUAGCCCUAUGAGAAAAGUGACAAAUUUACCUAUGGCUAUUUCUUACUUGAAGAAUCGGUUCUUUGCACCAGUUGAUGUGGAAAUUCCAUUCCAAGGUCAGUUGCUCUCACCAGUUUCUAGUAGUCAUAGAUCUAUGCAUAUGGAUUAGUCUUGUCAUGAAAUUCAUGGCUUCAAAAUCUAUCUAUGAAUGGCUUAGUUAUAGCUAUUACUUGCUUGUCCAGUUUCCAAAUGAUUAUAGAGUAGGCAAAAUAACUUGCCUUUAGGUAAAUUUCUUGGCACACCAGUUGAUCAUAUCUAAUGAGUUGUUUGCCAUUCAUGGCACGUGGUGUUCUACAUGAGGAUGAACCUGAUUGCUGUGCAUAUGCUUUGGAUCUUUUCAGCUUUGGUAAAUGAAGGCAAGAUUCAUGGGCAUAAUGUUGUUAGGAUUUGUCAAUUGUUUGCAAAGCUGUGCUAUAUACUCAAACUUGCUCCAAAUUCUAUCCAAUCCAAUGACAAAAAUCUAGCUUCAGCACUUGAAGCUUAUUCAAACAUUUUCAAUCCGUAUUCCCCUAGCCCCCAAGAACCAAUUGAUGGGGACAUCAGAAUUUGGACUAACAACACAAUAAAAGUAAGCUGUGAGGAUUUGGUUUUCUUGUGGGGCUUUAGGGAUAUGACGGCUGGGAUGCUGAAGAGCAUGCUUCAAGUGUCUCAUAAAGUUUUCUCCGAGGAAUUUGAUGUUAGAUUAGUGGACAAAAGUUGUGCCAUUGUGGUAUUCAGACGACCUGGUUUAUCUAAAACUUUUCUGGAUGUCCUGAAUGGUGGUUCAGAGAUUGUUGGACCUUUAAGGGAGAUGGUCUCAGAAGGUGUAAGAGCUGCGAGUUAUGAAACUUACAACAGAGCUUGCAGGUUGGGUAUAUGGGAUGCAAAUUUAGCAGAUGCCCUAGACAAAGCCUUGGCAGAUCUUGAUUACCCUUCAGGAGCUGAUUCUAAAACAAAGUCAUUAGACACUUACUGGUGCAGUGAAUGGGUGAUCAACUUGGAUGAGCUGUGAGGUUUUGCAUUCUAAUUCUUGAAUGAGAAAACUGUGUUGCUUUGAAUUGCAAAUUGACAUACAUGUAGAAUUGUACAUUAUUUGAUGCUAGAAAUUAAAAAGCUACGAUGCCAUGCGUGAUGCUGC